This 268-nucleotide ribosomal RNA is filed under the name uncultured bacterium. Its description in RNAcentral is "partial 16S ribosomal RNA". It matches the Rfam family "Bacterial small subunit ribosomal RNA", at positions 57 to 305 of the family's 1533-position model. The record is from RNAcentral.
GCAAGUUGAACGAGAAGUUUCCGCAUGAUUUUUUCGGAAUGAUUAUGGGAAUGGAAAGUAGCGAACGGGUGAGUAACGCGUGGGUAACCAACCUUAAACUGGGGGACAACACAGGGAAACUUGUGCUAAUACCGCAUAUAUGCAGACAUGGCAUCAUGAUUGCAGGAAAGGCUUCGGCCGGUUUAAGACGGACCCGCGUCCAAUUAGCUAGUUGGUGGUGUAAUGGACCACCAAGGCGACGAUUGGUAGCCGGGCUGAGAGGCUGGAC